This 441-nucleotide ribosomal RNA is filed under the name uncultured bacterium. RNAcentral's name for it is "partial 16S ribosomal RNA". It matches the Rfam family "Bacterial small subunit ribosomal RNA", at positions 338 to 795 of the family's 1533-position model. The record is from RNAcentral.
CCUACGGGGGGCUGCAGUGGGGAAUAUUGCGCAAUGGACGCAACUCUGACCCAGCAACGCCGCGUGAGCGAUGAAGGUCUUCGGAUUGUAAAGCUCUGUCGCAGGGGACGAAGUAUGACGGUACCCUGUAAGAAAGCCCCGGCAAACUACGGGCCAGCAGCCGCGGUAAUACGUGGGCGGCUAGCGUUGUCCGGAAUUACUGGGCGGAAAGUGCGUGUAGACGGCUUGUCAAGUUAAGUGUGAAAGCCUGCGGCUUAACCGCAGAAUUGCACUUAAAACUGACUAGCUUGAGUGCAGGAGAGGAUAGUGGAAUUCCUAGUGUAGCGGUGGAAUGCGUAGAGAUUAGGAGGAACACCAGAGGCGAAGGCGGCUCACUGGACUGUAACUGACGUUGAGGCUCGAAAGCGUGGGGAGCAAACAGGAUUAGAUACCCUAGUAGUC